CAGUAGCCACGGUAAUACGGAGGGUGCAAGCGUUAAUCGGAAUUACUGGGCGUAAAGCGUGCGUAGGCGGCUUCUUAAGUCGGAUGUGAAAUCCCUGAGCUUAACUUAGGAAUUGCAUUCGAUACUGGGAAGCUAGAGUAUGGGAGAGGAUGGUAGAAUUCCAGGUGUAGCGGUGAAAUGCGUAGAGAUCUGGAGGAAUACCGAUGGCGAAGGCAGCCAUCUGGCCUAAUACUGACGCUGAGGUACGAAAGCAUGGGGAGCAAACAGGAUUAGAUACCCCAGUAGUCCCUGUCUCUUAUAA
RNAcentral lists this ribosomal RNA (301 nucleotides) under uncultured bacterium. Its description in RNAcentral is "partial 16S ribosomal RNA". It matches the Rfam family "Bacterial small subunit ribosomal RNA", at positions 509 to 809 of the family's 1533-position model. The record is from RNAcentral.